This is a long non-coding RNA of Canis lupus familiaris (dog), 1373 nucleotides long. RefSeq lists it as uncharacterized. The record is from RefSeq and is a predicted model, not a curated record. Lineage: Eukaryota; Metazoa; Chordata; Mammalia; Carnivora; Canidae. The transcript has 3 exons.
GGAUUCCCUGCCAAGCAGGGAGCCCAAUGCUGGGCUCAAUCCCAGGACCCCAAGAUCACAUGAUCUGAGCCGAAGGCAGACACUUAAACAGACUGAGCCACCCAGGUGCCCCGAGCACCUCAGUUUUAACACGAACUGGAAGACUUUUGAGGAAAAUUUCUUAUAUUAAAAAAAAGUAAUAAAACAACAGAAAAAAGGAAACUCAGGAGAAUCAAAGCCUAUGCCAGGAGCAGAAGAAACUGGGACGUCCAGGUCGGGUGGAGGCUGGUGGCACAGGUUGUGAAAGAAUUCACCCAAGGCAGAACAAUGGAGAUAGAAGUUUAUGGAAUACACUGCAGGGAAGCAGUGGUCAGAACAGCAGAGCAGAGACUGUGAUAGGGUGGUGGUGAGGGGCUAUAGUUACAGGGCCGAGUGAGGAAGUAUGGAAGUAUGGAAUUUCCUCCUUUUGUUGGUCAUCUUAGGAAUUGUACUUGGUUGUAAGUAGCUGAUUGGUCAGUUAGGGUCUAUGGCUGUUUUGAGAGGAGUUGUUUAAUGAGCCUAUUUGCAUUCAAUUUGGGGGUCAUCAUGGGCCCUAUUACCUUGAUCAAGUUUCCAUUGCUCAAGCCUGUUGCCUGAAAGCAGCCUCUACAAAAAUCUCAAACUAUUAAUAUCCUCCCAAAGGAAUCUUUCAGAACAUGUAUGCUACCAAAGAUGAGGAAUAAACCAAGAAAGAGGAAGAUGUGAAUAAGAAUACAAGAAUUCCAGCAAAGGAAAGAGGCAAAUUGAAUGUCUAGAGUCAUGGUCAAAAAAAUACGAGGCUGACAAAAAUCUAGCAGUUCUAGAGAUCAACCACUCCAGGUAGAAACAGAAGGAUGGAAGGAUCUAGGAGAGAUGUCUCCAUUAAAAGCAAAAGCAAAAGCAAAAGCAAAAACAAAACCUACAAGAAAACUUGAGGUGCUUGACAAUGUUGCUGACAAGCUUCUCCAUGGAGAUAGGAAGAUGUAAGCUGGGCUGCAAAAGCUGUCAUCCUUACUCAAUGACAAGGAACACCGGGCUGACACUAGCUGAGGGAGAAAGCAGGCACUCACUGGAGUCUGUAAAGAUCUAUCGAGAAAUAAACAAGGGAUGACACUUGGUGCACUCUUACAGCAGAGACUCAAGUUUUUGAAUGAUCCAAAUAAAAGAUAUCCUUCCAAAAAGAAAGCAAGUUUUAAAGGAGCACGAAUUCUACACAUUGUUGAUAAAAAAUCAAAUUCUCCACUUAAUUGCAUGACUUUCCAAUUUGAUUUUCUGGUAGAAACAAAGCUUUAGAAUAGCAGUGGACAGUCUGUGGACAGGGGACUGUUUAGCUUUGGGAAGAAGCAAGAAAUGUUCUUCGUGUUGCUAUUUCUUAA